AUGGAAGUGGACAUUUUUCAAGCACUUGUUGACAAGCUGCGUGAGAAAAAACUCCUUGCUGAUUCAAAAGUACUAGCAGUAGAAGAGCAAGUGGCAAUAUUUUUGUAUGCAGUAUCCAAAAAUGCAACAAAUGAAACCCUACAGGAUUGGUUUCAGCAUAGUGCAGAAACAAUAAGCCGGCGAUUUGGAUUAGUGCUUGAUGCGAUCACACGGCUCACAAAUGUCUAUAUACGUCCACCUUCCCUCAACCCACAUCCAAUCUUGAGCAAACCACAAUUUUAUCAUUUCUUUCAGAAUUGCAUUGGUGCUAUAGAUGGAACCCAUAUUCCUAUGUUCCUAUCACCAGGCCAACAAGAACCAUACCGGAACAGGAAGCAAACGCUCUCACAAAAUGUCAUGGUUGCUUGUGACUUCGACUUAAAAUUUGUGCAUGUACAUGCUGGGUGGGAAGGAUCAGCUUCUGAUGCAAGAGUUCUACAAGAUGCACUAAAUCAUGGUUUUCAUGUACCUCAUGGUAAAUUUUACCUUGUUGAUGCUGGUUAUGCAAACACACCCCAAUUUCUUGCUCCAUACCGUGGUACUAGGUAUCAUCUAAAAGAACAAGGAGAAGUACGUCAAAGGCCACAAAAUUACAAGGAAUUGUUCAACCUUCGUCAUGCUCAACUUCGGAAUCAUAUAGAGAGAAUUAUCGGCAUACUAAAAAUGAGAUUUCCUAUCCUGAAAGUUGCUGCACAUUAUUCAGUUGAUAAACAAAUUGACAUAUCCGUGGCUUGUUGUGUUUUGCACAAUUUCAUACGCCUACACAAAGGAGAUAUGGAGUGGCCCAAAGAUGCUCCCAUGGAGAUUGACCCGAACUAG
Molecule: ribosomal RNA, 858 nt
Filed under: Triticum aestivum (bread wheat)
Lineage: Eukaryota; Viridiplantae; Streptophyta; Magnoliopsida; Poales; Poaceae
Description: partial small subunit ribosomal RNA
Source: RNAcentral